RNAcentral lists this ribosomal RNA (256 nucleotides) under uncultured bacterium. RNAcentral's name for it is "partial 16S ribosomal RNA". It matches the Rfam family "Bacterial small subunit ribosomal RNA", at positions 524 to 776 of the family's 1533-position model. The record is from RNAcentral.
UACGGAGGGUGCAAGCGUUGUCCGGAAUCACUGGGCGUAAAGGGCGCGUAGGCGGCUCAUGAAGGCUGUGGUGAAAGUCCGGGGGCUCAACCUCGGAUCGGCCGUGGCGACUCGUGGGCUGGAGCACUGUAGAGGCGGGUGGAAUUCCGGGUGUAGCGGUGAAAUGCGCAGAUAUCAGGAGGAACACCGGUGGCGAAGGCGGGUCUCUGGGCAGUAACUGACGCUGAGGAGCGAAAGCGUGGGGGAGCAAAACAGG